UACGUAGGGGGCAAGCGUUGUCCGGAUUUAUUGGGCGUAAAGAGCGUGUAGGCGGCCAGGUAGGUCCGCUGUGAAAACUCGAGGCUCAACCUCGAGAUGUCGGCGGAAACCAUCUGGCUAGAGUCCGGAAGAGGAGAGUGGAAUUCCCGGUGUAGCAGUGAAAUGCGUAGAGAUCGGGAGGAACAUCAGUUGCGAAGGCGGCUCUCUGGACCAGCACUGACACUGAGGCACGAAAGCGUGGGGAGCAAACAGG
Molecule: ribosomal RNA, 253 nt
Filed under: uncultured bacterium
Lineage: Bacteria
Description: partial 16S ribosomal RNA
Rfam family: Bacterial small subunit ribosomal RNA
Source: RNAcentral